CCAUGAUCAAGUAGGCUUCAUCCCAGGGAUGCAGGUAUGGUUCAACAAACAAAAAUCUAUCAUGUGAUCUACCAUAUAAACAAAUUGAAAAAGAAAAACCACGUGAUAUCUCAACUAGAUGCUGAAGAAGACUUUGGCAAGGUCCAAUAUCCCUUCAUGAUAAAGGUCUUGAGAUCAGGGAUGACAGGAACAUACCUAAACAUAAUAAAACAUCACACAGAAUAUUUUUCAUCUUUAUUGGUCAUUUGUUCUUCAUCUUUUGGGAACUGUGUUCAAUUCAUUAUUUUGCUUCUCUGACAUCAGGUACUUUGACGUAGCAACCAUCAUCACUUUGUAUCCUCAGGAGUUUUUGUUGUGCUUUAUAAGAACUCUACUCACUGAGCAAUAACUCCCUAGUUUUCUUCCACUGCUCCUGGUAAAUACUAUUGUUCUGUCUCUUUGGAUAUGAGGUUUCCAGGUACCUCUGUGGGGUGGAAUAGUGCAGCAUAUGUUCUUUUCAUUUGGCAUGCUGUUUUUAAGGUCCAUAUUUAUUUUAGCGUGUAUCACAAUUUCAUUGUUUUGAAGCUUGGGAAUUUUGAGACAGCAUGUCGCUCAGUAGCCCAGCUUGUCAUGGAACUCAUGAAAUCUUCCAGCCUCAGCUGGCAUUACAGCCACCAUGCCUAGUGGGAUUUUGUCUCUAUUUAAAGUGAACACUGUUGGAUUGGGUGUUCAUAUUACAUUUUGUUUACCAUUGAUCCAGCAGCAUUCAUUUCUAAUUUUGUAAAGUGGAUACUGAUACAGACAAGAAACAGCUCCAGAAGUCACUUUAUAGUUCCAAUCACCUCAUGUACAUGAGGUUAGAUGAUUAUUACAAAAGGAGCGUGAUUGCUAGGAAGGCCUGGGGACAGAUGUUUAUAUAGAAUUUUAAUUUCUGCUUUAUAAUUAAUAGCUAUAAUUGACCUAAUUGCCUUUUUUACAGUUUGCUGGUCCUUGAAUUCAUCUUGUCACUCACCAUACUCAAGGAAGAAACUUCCCCCAGCCAGCAUUCCCUGGUGCAGAGAAAAGAGGGUGAAGGGGAGAUUUUAUGGGUUUAGUUGUGUAAGCAUUCAAUAAAAGGAAGGGAAGUGGGGUGGAAGACAUAUUCAACCUAAUUCUAUUUUCUUAGGGGAUUUAAGAAGCUUCCCAUGAACUAAAUGUUUUGAAGAAAUAAGUUAUAUCCUGCCAUUUCUUACACGAGUGGCCUAUCUAAUUGAAUAAAACUAUAUGACUCAUGAAUUACAAGUUGAAUGCAGUGUAGCUAUGAGGGGUGUACUUAGGUGCUCAUUGAAGCAGUCUUUGAAGGGAAGGGAUGGAGCUAACGUGUCAAGAAACUUCCUGGCUUUAGCCUUUGGUAUCUUCUCCCUACACAUAAAACCCCUUCUGCUGCUUGCUUCUCCUUACUUCUGUCUCCAGUACUUCACAGCAGAGAAAGUCGCACGAGUUAUUGCUUUCUGAACAACAAACCUAAUUCCUCAGAAUAAAAGAUCCUUUUCUCUGGUAUGUUUGGAACACUAUGAUUUUUAUACUGAGUCAUUCUCCAUUGUGGUUUAGAAAGGGCAAUCGCAAGACAUGAAGUCCGGGAAAUUGAACAGCGGCAUACAAUGGAUGGCCCUCGGCAAGAUGCGGCUGUAGA
Molecule: non-coding RNA, 1651 nt
Organism: Cricetulus griseus (Chinese hamster)
Lineage: Eukaryota; Metazoa; Chordata; Mammalia; Rodentia; Cricetidae
Source: RefSeq, a predicted model, not a curated record